Molecule: ribosomal RNA, 468 nt
Filed under: uncultured bacterium
Lineage: Bacteria
Description: partial 16S ribosomal RNA
Rfam family: Bacterial small subunit ribosomal RNA
Source: RNAcentral
GACGAACGCUGGCGGCGUGCUUAACACAUGCAAGUCGAACGGAAAGGCCCUGCUUUUGUGGGGUGCUCGAGUGGCGAACGGGUGAGUAACACGUGAGUAACCUGCCCUUGACUUUGGGAUAACUUCAGGAAACUGGGGCUAAUACCGGAUAGGAGCUCCUGCUGCAUGGUGGGGGUUGGAAAGUUUCGGCGGUUGGGGAUGGACUCGCGGCUUAUCAGCUUGUUGGGGGGGUAGUGGCUUACCAAGGUUUUGACGGGUAGCCGGCCUGGGAGGGUGACCGGCCACAUUGGGACUGAGAGACGGCCCAGACUCCUACGGGAGGCAGCAGGGGGGAAUAUUGCACAAUGGGCGGAAGCCUGAGGCAGCAACGCCGCGUGCGGGAUGACGGCCUUCGGGUUGUAAACCGCUUUCGCCUGUGACGAAGCGUGAGUGACGGUAAUGGGUAAAGAAGCACCGGCUAACUACGUG